This is a long non-coding RNA of Chinchilla lanigera (long-tailed chinchilla), 1168 nucleotides long. RefSeq lists it as uncharacterized. The transcript is spliced from 2 exons. The record is from RefSeq and is a predicted model, not a curated record. NCBI's taxonomy places the organism in Eukaryota, Metazoa, Chordata, Mammalia, Rodentia, Chinchillidae.
GGCUUUGGGGGACCACUGCGGCCAGAGCUGAGUGACACACAGCUCCUACAACCGCCUCGAAGAAAGCUGUUCUUGCCGCGCCAGUGAAAACGUUCAGUACAGCCUGAGCAGGGCAGGCCUGGGCCCACUGCUACGGGCGAGGAAGGGAGGGCCGGGAAGCGCGCAAACCGAGCCGGCUGACAGCCAGGAGGAGCAGCUCCUGGGAGCGAGCACCGGGCCAGAAGGAAGGAGGGUGCUGCUGGAGCGCCGAGGGGCAGGCUCUCAUCGCGCGGCCUGGAGGGGGGCCAUCCCACGGCCCCACGUGAAGCCAGGAAUUGGCCUUCCCCUGCCCGCCUCUAGCUAAGGAGGGCACAAGUCCAGCUGCAGCCGGUCAGCAGCUGGCCGCUGGAGUCUGGUGCACGGUUCUUGCGGCCCACUUCAGGAUUCAUUAAGGUCAUGACAGCCUAUCCUGGUUUUGGGUUUCUACCCAGCACUUCUGCAAAGGCACGUUCUCCAUGUCGACAGUUGUGCGUGAGGAUUUCUCCAAGCUCCACUGGGAACCGCACUGCCUUGAGAGAUGAGCAAAGGACAUACAUCGAGCAUGUCUAUCAACCACAAAUCCAAGGAUAAAACAGAAGAAUUUUGCUCACUGUUCACCUACAAUGGACAGCAAAGAUCUGUUUUCCUCCCUGGGUUACUAAGCCUUGCCUUCCCCAGGUAUGUAAAGCGGUGUUGGAGAGAUACAGAGGAUGGGCUGCUGUAGCUUGACCCUCUGAAUACUUGCUCCUGCUCAGAGAAUCAGACCCAUGGGGACAGGGCCUCGAGGAGCUUCCUUCAUGCCCCGCAUCGGAAGGAGCAUUCUGGAGCAGCUUGUGGGACGGGACUGGCCCUUGAGCACGCACCGCAAGCAGGAAACCUGUGCUGUCUCCUCUUCGACCAAUCGCCAGAGUUGAAAAGAAUUGUGUUCCCCAGGGUGCCAUGAUCACUUUACCCUUUCCCAGCUGUGUCUCUCCAGGGGCAGAGGGUCUGGCCCGUGACUGCCACCACCUCCCGCAGUUCCUCUGAGAGCUGGAAAAAGGCCCCCCUUCAAGACACCCGCCUUCCGUCUGUUGGGAACCUGUAAUGCGCUGAUGCUGUUGCUGACCUUUGCUAAAAGGUGUUAGAAUUAAAAUGCGCAUACAUGAUAUAA